UUCGUAGGUGGCCAACUAAGUCAGACGUGAAAUCCCUCAGCUUAACUGGGGAACUGCGUCUGAGACUGGAUGGCUUGAGUGCAGGAGAGGAACGCGGAAUUCCAGGUGUAGCGGUGAAAUGCGUAGAUAUCUGGAGGAACACCGGUGGCGAAGGCGGCGUUCUGGACUGCAACUGACACUGAGGAACGAAAGCCAGGGGAGCAAACG
This 207-nucleotide ribosomal RNA is filed under the name uncultured bacterium. RNAcentral describes it as "partial 16S ribosomal RNA". It matches the Rfam family "Bacterial small subunit ribosomal RNA", at positions 568 to 774 of the family's 1533-position model. The record is from RNAcentral.